Molecule: ribosomal RNA, 506 nt
Filed under: uncultured bacterium
Lineage: Bacteria
Description: partial 16S ribosomal RNA
Rfam family: Bacterial small subunit ribosomal RNA
Source: RNAcentral
AGUGAACGCUGGCGGUAGGCCUAACACAUGCAAGUCGAACGGCAGCACAGAGGAGCUUGCUCCUUGGGUGGCGAGUGGCGGACGGGUGAGGAAUACAUCGGAAUCUACUCUGUCGUGGGGGAUAACGUAGGGAAACUUACGCUAAUACCGCAUACGACCUACGGGUGAAAGCAGGGGAUCUUCGGACCUUGCGCGAUUGAAUGAGCCGAUGUCGGAUUUGCUAGUUGGCGGGGUAAAGGCCCACCAAGGCGACGAUCCGUAGCUGGUCUGAGGGGAUGAGCACCCACACUGGAACUGAGACACGUUCCAGACUCCUACGGGAGGCAGCAGUGGGGAAUAUUGGACAAUGGGCGCAAGCCUGAUCCAGCCAUACCGCGUGGGUGAAGAAGGCCUUCGGGUUGUAAAGCCCUUUUGUUGGGAAAGAAAUCUAUCUGGUUAAUACCCGGGUGGGAUGACGGUACCCAAAGAAUAAGCACCGGCUAACUUCGUGCCAGCCGCCGCCGUAA